Molecule: unclassified non-coding RNA, 342 nt
Filed under: soil metagenome
Description: partial contains 5.8S ribosomal RNA, internal transcribed spacer 2, and large subunit ribosomal RNA
Rfam family: 5.8S ribosomal RNA (bases 1-120)
Source: RNAcentral
GAUGAAGAACGCAGCGAAAUGCGAUAAGUAGUGUGAAUUGCAGAAUUCAGUGAAUCAUCGAAUCUUUGAACGCACAUUGCGCCUCCUGGUAUUCCGGGAGGCAUGCCUGUUCGAGCGUCAUCAAAAACCUCAACCCAUGAUUUAUUGUGAGUUGGUUCUGCAUUGGACUCCUUGUGGGUCCUUUGCGAAAUCCAAUGGCGAAGAGCCACGCAACCAAAGCGUAGUAUAACUAUUUCGUUAUGGAAGCGUGGGUGCCUCUGCCGUAACCCCCAAUUUCUUAGUUUUUGAACUCGGAUCAGGUAGGGAUACCCGCUGAACUUAAGCAUAUCAAUAAGCGGAGGA